CCUACGGGAGGCAGCAGUCGAGAAUUUUUCUCAAUGGGCGAAAGCCUGAAGGAGCGACGCCGCGUGGGGGAUGAAGGGCUUCGGUCCGUAAACCCCUGUCAUUUGCGAACAAACCUUACGUGUGAAUAACGCGUGAGCUGAUUGUAGCGAAAGAGGAAGGGACGGCUAACUCUGUGCCAGCAGCCGCGGUAAUACAGAGGUCCCAAGCGUUGUUCGGAUUCACUGGGCGUAAAGGGUGCGCAGGUGGGCUGGUAAGUUCGAUGUGAAAGCCCCGGGCUUAACCCGGGAAUGGCAUUGGAUACUACUGGUCUGGAGGAUUGGAGGGGGGACUGGAAUUCUUGGUGUAGCAGUGAAAUGCGUAGAUAUCAAGAGGAACACCAGUGGCGAAGGCGAGUCCCUGGACAAUACCUGACACUGAGGCACGAAAGCCAAGGGAGCAAACAGGAUUAGAUACCCUGGUAGUCUUGGCUGUAAACGGUGCGUAUUUGCUGUAAACGGAAUCGACCCCGUUUGUGGCGUAGCUAACGCGAUAAAUACGCCGCCUGGGAAGUACGGUCGCAAGAUUAAAACUCAAAGAAAUUGACGGGGGCCUGCACAAGCGGUGGAGUAUGUGGCUUAAUUCGAUGCAACGCGAAGAACCUUACCUGGCCUUGACAUGCAUGUGGUAGAACCAUGAAAGUGGGACGACCCCGCAAGGGGAGCAUGCACAGGUGCUGCAUGGCUGUCGUCAGCUCGUGUCGUGAGAUGUUGGGUUAAGUCCCGCAACGAGCGCAACCCCUGUGAUCUGUUGCUAACCGGUUUACCGGAGCACUCUGAUCAGACCGCCCUGUGAAACGGGGAGGAGGUGGGGAUGACGUCAAGUCAGCAUGGCCCUUACGCCAGGGCUGCACACGUACUACAAUGCCCAGUACAGAAUGAGUCGAAACCGCGAGGUGGAGGAAAUCGAUAAA
This 950-nucleotide ribosomal RNA is filed under the name uncultured bacterium. Its description in RNAcentral is "bacterial SSU rRNA". It matches the Rfam family "Bacterial small subunit ribosomal RNA", at positions 338 to 1279 of the family's 1533-position model. The record is from RNAcentral.